This 496-nucleotide ribosomal RNA is filed under the name uncultured bacterium. Its description in RNAcentral is "partial 16S ribosomal RNA". It matches the Rfam family "Bacterial small subunit ribosomal RNA", at positions 28 to 507 of the family's 1533-position model. The record is from RNAcentral.
GACGAACGCUGGCGGCGUGCCUAAUACAUGCAAGUUGAGCGCUGAAGGUUGGUACUUGUACCGACUGGAUGAGCAGCGAACGGGUGAGUAACGCGUGGGGAAUCUGCCUUUGAGCGGGGGACAACAUUUGGAAACGAAUGCUAAUACCGCAUAAAAACUUUAACCACAAGGUUUAAGUUUGAAAGAUGCAAUUGCAUCACUCAAAGAUGAUCCCGCCUUGUCUUAGCUAGUUGGUAAGGAAAAGGCUCACCAAGGCAAUGUUCCAUAGCCGACCUGAAAGGUGAUUGGCCACAAUGGGACCGGGACCCGGCCCAAACUCCUACGGGAAGCAGCAGUAGGGAAACUUCGGCAAUGGGCGAAAGUCUGGACGGGCAACGCCGGCGGGGGGAAGGAGGUUUUCGGGUCGUAAAACUCUGUUGGUAGGGAAGAACGAUGGUGGGAGUGGAAAGCGCAUCAAGUGACGGUAACUACCCAGAAAGGGACGGCUAACUACGUG